AGGAUGAACGCUGGCGGCGUGCUUAACACAUGCAAGUCGAACGAUGAAGCCGGGAGCUUGCUCCUGGUGGAUUAGUGGCGAACGGGUGAGUAACACGUGAGUAACCUGCCCCAGACUCUGGGAUAAGCACUGGAAACGGUGUCUAAUACCGGAUACGAGCUUCAGCCGCAUGGCUAGGAGCUGGAAAGAUUUCGGCUGGGAUGGACUCGCGGCCUAUCAGGUAGUUGGUGAGGUAAAGGCUCACCAAGCCGACGACGGGUAGCCGGCCUGAGAGGGUGACCGGCCACACUGGGACUGAGACACGGCCCAGACUCCUACGGGAGGCAGCAGUGGGAAUAUUGCACAAUGGGCGAAAGCCUGAUGCAGCAACGCCGCGGUAAGGGACGAAGGCCGUUUACGGGUUACGUUAAACCCCGUUUUAGGUAACGGUAAGAAGUCGAAAGGUUCGAACGGUACCUGACCAGAAAACGCACCGGACUAACGUACGUGCCAGCAAGCCGAC
This 502-nucleotide ribosomal RNA is filed under the name uncultured soil bacterium. Its description in RNAcentral is "bacterial SSU rRNA". It matches the Rfam family "Bacterial small subunit ribosomal RNA", at positions 26 to 522 of the family's 1533-position model. The record is from RNAcentral.